CGACAUUGAGCAUUUCCACCAAAUUUUGGCAUAUGCUUGGAGUUCAUCAAAUUUGCCAACAAAGCAAUGCUGGUUGUGUUAGGAUUGGGUAUUACACCAUCUUACCUUCCCCCCCUUUUUUUUCUACUGCAAAACACUAUAAGUUCAAAAUAUGCUCUUAUUUUAUGUCUGAUUUUCAGGAUUUGGGAUGAUAAGGAAAAUACAAGAUAAGAAAGAGAAACAUUCAAGGUCUCUUCAGAUUAUGGAUGAACUACUUAGGCGUGCUUCAAGCUAUGGGUAUAACAGGAAUGGAAGAAAUCCCAAGCUAUCACAAUUCUGUAAAGAUGAGAAAACAACACCCUGUAACCUUGUGAAAGAACUAACACAAGAGAAUAAACCUGUUUCAGAUACUAAUAGAAAUGGGAAAGAAAGAAGUUGUUCUGUAAAUUGUCCACAUGUCAAAAAUGGCAGCAAAGACACUUCACCUUCCAGAAGUUCCUUAGAAAUUACCAACAAGGAUAGAGGAGAAAAGAAGAGAACUGUGGAAUUUGGAAACAUGGAGACACCAAUACUAAUUGCAGCAAAGAAUCGUGUCAAGGAAAUGGUGGACAGCAUCCUCGAGGAGUUUCCAGUGGCCAUUCAUGACAGGAACAAAGAAAAGAAGAAUGUAGUGCUGUUAGCAGUGGAGAAUAGACAACCUGAAGUGUAUGAGCUUUAACUCAAGAAGAAUAUUCUGAAAGAUAGCGUGUUUGGUGUAGUCGAUAAUGAGGGGAACAGUGCCUUGCAUCUGGGUGCAACGUUAGGAGAUUAUCAACCUUGGCAUAUUCCAGGUGCUGCAUUGCAGAUGCAAUGGGAAAUCAAGUGGUACAAGUAUGUGAAGAAUUCUAUGCCCCGACGUUUUUUCAUUCACUACUAAAACGACAAUCAAACUCCAAAGCGGAUCUUCACCAACCACCACACAGAACUUGUAAGCAGAGGAGGCAAAUGGCUAAAUGAUACUUCCAGUUCAUGCUCUGUUGUUGCUACUCUCAUUGCUACUGUUGCCUUCGCCACAUCUACCACGAUACCAGGCAGCUUUAAGAACAAUAACGGCAGACGAAACCUUGAGCACCAAGCAGCUUUUAAUCUCUUUGCGAUUUCAUCGCUUAUUGCUCUCUGCUUUUCGGUGACUACUAUGGUCAUGUUUCUUGCUAUUGUCAGCCCUAGGCACCAAGAGGACGAUUUUCACAGGGUCUUGCCUGAGAAGCUUUUGUUGGGCUUAACAACUCUUUUCAUAUUCAUAUCAGCUAUUUUGGUGUCUUUCUGUGCGGGACAUUUCUUUAUCCUUAGAGAUGGGCUCAAGCGUGCUGCAUUUCCUGUCUAUGCAAUAACUUGCCUUCCAAUAUCAUUUUUUGCUUUGGUGCAGUUCCCAAUGUACUUCGAUGUUGUAUGGACCACUUUUAGGAAGGUUCCAUAACGAAGGUAUAAGGUGAAUCUCUAGAAUUUCAUGUUCUCGAAACUACUUGUUGAUACUGUUGGUGAAAUAAGGUGUGUGUAUAUAUAUGUUAAUGUAGUUGGGAUUGUCUACGUUGCUUUCGAUUGGACAACAAGAUUGGAAAUUGUCUCUGACAGCA
Molecule: RNA transcript, 1592 nt
Organism: Vitis vinifera (wine grape)
Lineage: Eukaryota; Viridiplantae; Streptophyta; Magnoliopsida; Vitales; Vitaceae
Exons: 3
Source: RefSeq, a predicted model, not a curated record